Molecule: long non-coding RNA, 5668 nt
Filed under: Canis lupus familiaris (dog)
Lineage: Eukaryota; Metazoa; Chordata; Mammalia; Carnivora; Canidae
Description: lncRNA (ENSCAFG00845013510.1)
Source: RNAcentral
UCCCUAGCUACAUAAUCACAUUAACAUUUAAUGUGCCCAAGUUCAGCUAAAAUAUGUUUCCUCUCUUCUGCAUAUCCUUCCUGAAGCAAAAAUAAAAUAAAAUAAAAUGCCAAUGGAACUCAGGAAUUCCAUGUGUGUCCUGUGACGAGUUCCCCACAGAAAAACAUCCUCCAGACCCCUUUUCCACACAGACUGCUCCUCGAGGUAAACACAGCUUGUACAUGUGGGCAAACAUCUUUUAUCAUUUUACACACUUUAUAGGUCAGCCAGUUUGAGUUGGAGACACAGGAGAGUUCCCAGAGAAAUUCAUUACUGCCACUCAUUCUAGUUUUCUGUCUCAAUAUAAUUAAGCUUGGCUAAUUGUCUAUCAUGAUUAAAAUCAUGCCAAUAACAACCUUGUUCUCAAGUUUGGCUCUGCUCCAAACUUGUUAAUCGCUCUUGUUUUCCAGGAGGUCAUUCUGUACCUUGCUUCAGCUGUGAAAUUUCUUAUAAAUAACGUGCUUAGAUAAUAAGAUCAUCCUUGGGUGACCAGGAACCGUCAACAUGGAAGACACAAGCUGUGGCUAAUAUAGGGGAUGGCUGAAUCACAACUGGAGUAAUUCUCAACAGCCUGGAACACCAGGCUCACUUUAAUACAGUGCCAUUUCAGUAGGGGGAAAAAACGUAGUCCUGGAUAUAGGUUCAAAGGAUAAAUUCCAUAGAGUUAGGAAGGCAGGAGUUCACGAAAGAGAUUGGAUUAUCUAAAGUGGGCCCAAAGCUUGAUGUGAGGCAAUAUGGCUUCUAAAAAUACAAGAUUUGCCAGGAUUAAUUGAAAUUCAGCAACUCACCUAACCCAGGAAAUAUCAAUUAUAAGGUAUAGUAUUAUUUUAUGUACCACUAGGAAAAAAAGACACUACCACUUAAAAGUUAUGACAAUACUUUCCUGUCAUUUAGAAUUUAUAUAUACUUAGUGAAAAGUCUCUUGGAUGCAUUUGCAUCCUAUAUCACACUUCUCUGGUUCCCUGCUUUUCUGAGUACAAAUAACUUUUCAUUUCAAAGCUGAAUCAUACUAUAAUCUUUUUAAAGAUCCUUUAACUGUCAAUCCAACCGAGCACAUGUAGCAACAGCAAUGUGCAUAACUCAGCGGAAGCAAUGACUGUAUGAGCCCUGACCAAGUGCAUGAGUAGAGGUAAUGAAGACUGCCUGCUGGCCAGCAGCGAUUAUAAAAUGCUGUAAUCUAGGAUGCAGUCUCAUUUCCCAGAUACUAAAAUGUGGAAUAAAUAUGUAUGUUAGGGUUUAUGUAAUAUGGUAUAGGGUCCCGAGCAAGAGAGAUGAUAAUCCUGCUCUUCUUAGCACUGGCGAGUUUCAUAUCUUCAUAAGAAUCUGAGCUCUGAGCAGCAUUUCUUGUGCAGGAUGCUUCCUGAUGUAUGUUCAGCAUCCCCUCAGUUCUCCUUGAACAGUGCAUAUGGCGCCACUUACACCAACUGUCUAGCGGAAUGGCAUCCCCUCCACCCCACUUUAGAAACUGCAUGGUCCUUGACUCAAGGGAAACGUCCUUCUUCAUUUCUGUCCCAGUAGCAACUACAGUCGGACCUGACACAGAGUAGGUGCUCUGUAUGCAAGUGAAAACAUGAAAGAAGGAAUGACUAUUGUACCAGGAUGGACUCUGGGUCACAUAAUGUUUUUCUCUAAUUAAUAAGAAUUUGGAAAAUAUUAUUAUGAUGUAGAUUAUAUUCAAGCAGUCUUAUUUAUUGAAUUUUUUAAUGUAUUGAAUUUAUUGUAUUUAUUGAAAUACAAAUAUGGCAUCAUUUAAAUUUCUUUUACAUCAACAAUGCUGGAUUGAUUGAUUUCCAACAGUUCCUCCUCUCCUCACCCCACCCCUGCACAUAUAUAUAUAUAUAUAUAUAUAUAUAUAUAUAUAUAUAUACCCCCUAUAUUCUAAUGAGGAGCCCUGAAGCCUUGAUGCCAACUGGAUCUGGAUGCAAAAUGAACUUUGUCAUUUCACUGCCUGAGGGAAUUUGAGAUUUUUUUACUCUCUUGGCCUCCCUUGUAUAGAUCUCCCUCCUGAGAUGGCUAUGAGGAAAAAAUAACACAUACACAGUACAUAUAACAGUACCCACUAUACCAUAAAUUCUCAAGAAUUUUUAGCUACAGGUUUAUAUAUAAACCUUGUAACCAUGUUACCACUUUAAAGAACUUUCACAUCCAUCAUGUCUUUUGAUUGGCACGCCAAUCUCGAGAGGAGGCUCUUCUAUUCCUAUUUUUCAAACACUAAAAUACACUCAGAAAGAAAAGGUAGUUUGCACAAAAUCACAGUGGCAGACUUGACCUUUAACCCAGUUCUUCUUAUCAAAUGAUGUUCAUUAUGAAGAAAAAAGAAUUUCUGAUCUGGAGAGAAUAUUAGAGAUAAGCUGGUCCCCAACCCUCAUUUGUCACAUAAGGAGACUGAGGAACAGAGAGAACGUGAUUUGCUUUUUGUACCACCAACUGACUGCUGGUGACAGAACUAGGAUUGGAGCCUAGAGGUCUGAAAACAUACAUUUUUCAGUAUUUUUCACCCAAUAUUGUGUCCGACUCUGAGGAGGGCAUCCUCAUAUGAGAACACUUUCUGGUAUCAUGCGAUCUGCCCUCACCCUCCUCUCCAGCCUCACUUUCUGCUGAUAGGAUCCUACUCUUACCUUCCACAUGGACCACUUUAGUCAUCCCUCAAACAUGCUCAUUCUCUGAUGAACUUGCUUUCCCUCUGUCCAGAAAGCUCCUCUCCUGAUCCUUUGUUUUCUCAAUUCAAGUCUCUGCUCAAACAUCCUCUUAAAAGAGGACUUCUCUAUCAAAAUUAGCCUCUUUAGACUCUAAGUAAAAGAAUCUAAUCCACCACUACCUAACAUUCUCAAUUUCCUUACUCUAUUUUCUUUAUAGCACUUAGCUUUCUUCAUAGCUCUUGUAUUAUGUAUUUAUUUACUUAUUUAAUAUCAUGUCUCUUUCAUGAUGAUGCAGGUCUCAUCGGAGAUAGUGACUGCAUUUGUUGUGUUCAUCGUUGUGUUACUAGCAGAAUGGUGUCUAGCACGUAGUAGGUGCUUAAUGAAAAUAUUUGUUGAAUGCCUACUACAUACCAGGCACUAAAGGACAGGUGCUGGGAAAACAAGUGUAACUCAGUAAGUCAUUCCUCUCUGCCAAAAUACAGUUUCUUGUCUAGUGUUGGACAUAGACAUUGCAUAAGUAAUUGCAGAAGUUUAUGGGGGAAGCAUGUAAUCUGCAGAGGUGAGCUAGUCUUGAGAUUCUGAGAGGACUUCCCUGAUAAGCUAAUUUUCUAUAUGCACCCUGGAUGGGUGAGAGGUUUAAACUAAGUGAAGAUGGUAGAGGAUGAGUGUUCCAAUUGAGGAAACACUGAGCAUAUGUUCUUGUGGCAGGAAGGGGUAAUGGUAGUGGGCAGAUAUCAGAGGGAUGAGGAAAGGAAGUGGGUGGAAGUCAGACUGGAUGAGACUCUUUAGGAUAUAUUAAAGAUUUUGGCCUCUAUUCUCUGGGCCAUGGGAAAGCCAUUGGAGGACUUUAAUCACAGAGGUGAUACAUUGAGUCCUGUAUUUUUAAAUGAUCAGUUUGGUGGUGGUUUGGAGAAUGAAGUGGAAGAGGGUAGGGGAAAUUAGAAUGAUUAGUCAGGAGGCCACAACAAUAGACACAGAGGGGAAGUGGCUCCUACCAAGGUGGCGACUGUGUAAGUGAAAAGAAUGGAUGGAACAGAAUUUAGAAUUGGACUUUAUAGAAAUGGCCAGGGAUCAGGAUUGAGGAAGAUGUAUCAAAGAUACCUCGCAGUCCUUUCUUUUUUCACUUGUCAAAUGGAUGAAAGGUAGUGACAAAGAGAUGGAGAAUCCUGGAAGAAGGCAAGGUCAUGAAUGCUAUUUUGGAUGUGCCAAAUUUGAGAUGCUUUUGAAGCAUCUAAGUGCAGAUAUAAAAUAACAAGAAAUGCAAAUCUGGAGCUUAGGAAAGCUCUGUCCUGGAGAUACAUCUGGGUAGUUUUAGAUGGUCUGCAAGGUUAUAGGGGUAUAAGGAGUGGAGAACAGUCUCAGAGACGUUGAUGCUUUAAGUGAUACUUUAAGAAAUUCCAUCAUUUAAUGGCCAAGUAUGGAAGGGAGGAGUGUCCACAAGGAGUGAGAAAACCAGAAUUGUGUCCCAAUGUGCCUGAGGGAGGAGGGUGUUCCAUGGAUGAGUGAUCAGCAAUGCUAAACAUGGCAGAGAGGUAAAGGAAGAUGGGUACUGAGGGGGCCCUCUGCAGUUGAUAACAAUGAGGCCACUUGAUGUUAGUAAAGGCCAUUCAAGUGGAAUGAUGCAAAAAGCAACCAGAUUAGAAGAGGCUAAAGGGAGAAUAAUGAGAUUUGUGAUGGAGAUGGUAGUAAAAGACAGAUCUUUUGAGGAGAAUAACUGUGAGGUUAGGGGAAAGAAAGAAAAUGUUAUAGUUGGUGGAGGUCUCUGGAAGGUUAUUUAUUUAUUGAUUAAAGACUGAAGGGACUCAGGCAUAUUUAAAUGUUGAUGGAAAGAAAUGCCAUUUUAAAGGACAUGUUUCAAAGCCAAUGCAAAGGAAUUGGACUUGGCAAAGGAACAAGGGCCAUUCUCCUCUGUUGUAACAGGAGGGAAAGAGAGUAGGAGAUGCAGAUGUAGGUGGAUUUGUAUAUUUAGUGGAAGGAAGGUAAGGAGCUUCUCAUUUUCCAGAUUUACUUUGCACGUAAAGUAGGAAGUGGUCAUUUGCUGAGAGUCAUAGGUGAUGGAGGGAGGUUGAGAAAGGGUUGAGGGUUUGAAGAGAGUGGAAAAAGCUGGAAAUUGUUGGAGUCUGGGAUAUUGUGAUUUAUAUGAAAUAUGUAUUUGUCCAUUUAGAUGACCAAAAUGUAUUUCUCAUAUGUAUUAGGUCGUUGUCCACAGUGCCUGGCUCACAGUUCCCAAAACCCUUGGAGUUUCCUAAAUGUCUUUUGUUAUAUUAAUGAGGUGACUUUUGGAAAGCACCUAAGGAUUGGGGCUGGUUGCCAACGGAGUCAAGUGAUUAGGCAGUUGGAACUUCUAGUCCCCACCUCCUACCUCUGGGAGGUUGAAACAAUGAUUUAAUCAAUCAUGCCUACACAAUGAAGCCUCCAUUAAACCCCAAAAGGACCAAGUUCAGAGAAUUCCUGGGUUGGUAAAUAUGUGGAGAUAUCAGGAGAAUGACGAGCCUAGAGAGGGCAAGGCAGCUCUACCUCCUUCCCACAGAAAUUGUCCUUUGUUUCUCUUCCAUUCGGCUGUUCCUGUAUUAUAUCCUUUUAUGAUAAACCAGAUAUCUAGUUCAUAAAGUGUUUCUCUGAGUUCUGUGAGCUGCUCUAGCAAAUUAAUCGACCUGGAUAAGGAAGCCAUUGGAACCUCUGAUUUACAGAAAUGGCAUCUGAAAUCCAAGAAGCAGGUUGUGGGAAUCUCCAAUUUAUAUCCAGUGAGUCAGAAGCACAGGUACCAAUCUGGGCUUCAAGUGACAUCUGAAGUGGGGCAUGGAGGGAGGCUUGUAGGACUGAGCCCUUAACCUGUGAUAUCUGAUGUUAUCUCUGGAUAGAUAGUGUCAGAAUUGAGUUGACUCCUCAGACCCUGAUAGAAUCUAACAUAUAAUGAUACAAUAAAUGAAACAGACUGUAGGAUGUAGGUCCUUUUGAGCUUAGCAAUCAUAUCAGUCUCUGGUGUAGGC